CUGCCCUAUGGGGGCUGCCCUAUAGCAGCUGUGCCCCUGUGCCUUAUAGGAGCUGUGCCCUAUGGGGGCUGUGCCCUAUAGCAGCUGUGCCCCUGUGCCUUAUAGGGGCUGUGCCCUAUAGGGGCUGUGCCCUAUGGGGGCUGUGCCCUAUGGGGGCUGUGCCCUAUGGGGGCUGCCCUAUAGCAGCUGUGCCCCUGUGCCCUAUGGGGGCUGUGCCCUAUGGGGGCUGCCCUAUGGGGGCUGUACCCUAUGGGGUCUACCCUAUAGCAGCUGUGCCCUAUGGGGGCUGUCCUAUAGGAGCUGCGUCUUAUGAGAGCUGUGUCCUAGGGGAUUUGUGCCCUAUUUGGGGCUGUGCCCUAUGGGGUCUGCCCUAUAGACACCAUAUUCUAUGGGGUCUGCUUUAUGGGUUCUGUGCCCUAUGGUGGCUCUGUGCUCUAUGGGGUCUGCCCUACGAGGUCUGCCCUAUAGGAGCCACACUCUAUGGGGGCUGUCCUUUAUGGGGGGCCGUGCCCUAUAGGGUCUGCCCUAGGGGAGCUGCUCUAUGGGAUCUGCGCCCUAUGGGGUCUGCCCCUCUUACCCACAGCCAGCCCCGGGUCGCUGUUCAUGGUCUGCACGAUCUCCAUGCCCUGAGAGCACGGCCGCGUUAGGGACAUCGCCACCACCCCCGUGUCACAUCCCCCCCCAUCCCCACA
RNAcentral lists this long non-coding RNA (692 nucleotides) under Numida meleagris (helmeted guineafowl). RNAcentral's name for it is "lncRNA (ENSNMEG00000004337.1)". Lineage: Eukaryota; Metazoa; Chordata; Aves; Galliformes; Numididae. The record is from RNAcentral.